GUUUGAUCCUGGCUCAGGAUGAACGCUAGCGGCAGGCUUAACACAUGCAAGUCGAGGGGUAUUGGUUUUCGGACCAAGAGACCGGCGCACGGGUGCGUAACGCGUAUGCAAUCUACCUUUCACAGAGGGAUAGCCCAGAGAAAUUUGGAUUAAUACCUCAUAGUAUAGCAGUUUCGCAUGAAACCACUAUUAAAGUCACAACGGUGAAAGAUGAGCAUGCGUCCCAUUAGCUAGUUGGUAAGGUAACGGCUUACCAAGGCAACGAUGGGUAGGGGUCCUGAGAGGGAGAUCCCCCACACUGGUACUGAGACACGGACCAGACUCCUACGGGAGGCAGCAGUGAGGAAUAUUGGACAAUGGGCGCAAGCCUGAUCCAGCCAUGCCGCGUGCAGGAUGACGGUCCUAUGGAUUGUAAACUGCUUUUAUACAGGAAGAAACACUACUUCGUGAAGUAGCUUGACGGUACUGUAAGAAUAAGGAUCGGCUAACUCCGUG
This 495-nucleotide ribosomal RNA is filed under the name uncultured bacterium. RNAcentral's name for it is "bacterial SSU rRNA". It matches the Rfam family "Bacterial small subunit ribosomal RNA", at positions 11 to 507 of the family's 1533-position model. The record is from RNAcentral.